GAUGAGCGCUGGCGGCGUGCUUAACACAUGCAAGUCGAACGAUGAAGCCCAGCUUGCUGGGUGGAUUAGUGGCGAACGGGUGAGUAACACGUGAGUAACCUGCCCUUAACUCUGGGAUAAGCCUGGGACACUGGGUCUAAUACCGGAUAGGAGCGUCCACCGCAUGGUGGGUGUUGGAAAGAUUUAUCGGUUUUGGAUGGACUCGCGGCCUAUCAGCUUGUUGGUGAGGUGAUGGCUCACCAAGGCGACGACGGGUAGCCGGCCUGAGAGGGUGACCGGCCACACUGGGACUGAGACACGGCCCAGACUCCUACGGGAGGCAGCAGUGGGGAAUAGUGCACAAUGGGCGCAAGCCUGAUGCAGCGACGCCGCGUGAGGGAUGACGGCCUUCGGGUUGUAAACCUCUUUCAGUAGGGAAGAAGCGAAAGUGACGGUACCUUCAGAAGAAGCACCGGCUAACUACGUG
RNAcentral lists this ribosomal RNA (466 nucleotides) under uncultured bacterium. RNAcentral describes it as "partial 16S ribosomal RNA". It matches the Rfam family "Bacterial small subunit ribosomal RNA", at positions 28 to 507 of the family's 1533-position model. The record is from RNAcentral.